RNAcentral lists this ribosomal RNA (478 nucleotides) under uncultured bacterium. RNAcentral's name for it is "partial 16S ribosomal RNA". It matches the Rfam family "Bacterial small subunit ribosomal RNA", at positions 28 to 523 of the family's 1533-position model. The record is from RNAcentral.
GACGAACGCUGGCGGCGUGCUUAACACAUGCAAGUCGAACGGUAAGGCCCUUCGGGGUACACGAGUGGCGAACGGGUGAGUAACACGUGGGUGAUCUGCCCUGCACUUCGGGAUAAGCCUGGGAAACUGGGUCUAAUACCGGAUAGGACUCCGGACUGCAUGGUCUGGGGUGGAAAGCUUUUGCGGUGUGGGAUGGGCCCGCGGCCUAUCAGCGUGUUGGUGGGGUGAUGGCCUACCAAGGCGACGACGGGUAGCCGGCCUGAGAGGAUGACCGGACACACUGGGACUGAGAUACGGCCCAGACUCCUACGGGAGGCAGCAGUGGGGAAUAUUGCACAAUGGGCGCAAGCCUGAUGCAGCGACGCCGCGUGAGGGAUGACGGCCUUCGGGUUGUAAACCUCUUUCAGCAUCGACGAAGCGAAAGUGACGGUAGGUGCAGAAGAAGGACCGGCCAACUACGUGCCAGCCGCCGCCGUAA